GCCAUCUUGAAAGAUUAUGUACUGUAUUAGGUUACUUGUUGAUCCGAGUUCACCCAUGCUGACUGGAUUGGUCAGACAUAAAAUAUACUGAUUAAAAUAAGAUUAGUCAUUAUAUCAAAUAUAUGUGACUAAUUAGAAGAGAUCUGAACCUAAAUCUUCUUACAAAUAUUAAGUCUACUGAUCUUGCACCAUUGUAGAGAUGCGGGUGCCUUUUUCGAUAUUAAUCAUUCUCAAUUGGUUAUAGUGGUUCGGUUGCAUCGAAAAGGCAAACC
RNAcentral lists this long non-coding RNA (272 nucleotides) under Elaeis guineensis (African oil palm). Its description in RNAcentral is "long non-coding RNA (EGUI_LNC053055)". Lineage: Eukaryota; Viridiplantae; Streptophyta; Magnoliopsida; Arecales; Arecaceae. The record is from RNAcentral.